UAGUCAUAUGCUUGUCUCAAAGAUUAAGCCAUGCAUGUCUAAGUAUAAACAAUUCUAUACUGUGAAACUGCGAAUGGCUCAUUAAAUCAGUUAUAGUUUAUUUGAUAAUACCUACUACUUGGAUAACCGUGGUAGUUCUAGAGCUAAUACAUGCACAAAAGUCCGACUUCUGGAAGGACUGUAUUUAUUAGAUACAAAACCAAUGCGGGGCAACCCGGUCUUUUGGUGAUUCAUAAUAACUUCGCGAAUCGCAUGGCCUUGUGCUGGCGAUGAUUCAUUCAAAUUUCUGCCCUAUCAACUUUCGAUGGUAAGGUAUUGGCUUACCAUGGUUACAACGGGUAACGGAGAAUUAGGGUUCGAUUCCGGAGAGGGAGCCUGAGAAACGGCUACCACUUCCAAGGAAGGCAGCAGGCGCGCAAAUUACCCAAUCCUGACACAGGGAGGUGGUGACAAAAAAUAACAAUGCAGGACUUUCUAAAAGCCUUGCAAUUGGAAUGAGAACAAUCUAAACCCCUUAUCGAGUAUCAAUUG
This 531-nucleotide ribosomal RNA is filed under the name uncultured eukaryote. Its description in RNAcentral is "SSU rRNA". It matches the Rfam family "Eukaryotic small subunit ribosomal RNA", at positions 21 to 550 of the family's 1831-position model. The record is from RNAcentral.